RNAcentral lists this long non-coding RNA (534 nucleotides) under Lathyrus oleraceus (garden pea). RNAcentral describes it as "Pisum sativum (pea) long non-coding RNA (PSAT_LNC008767)". Lineage: Eukaryota; Viridiplantae; Streptophyta; Magnoliopsida; Fabales; Fabaceae. The record is from RNAcentral.
UUUUGGUAGAGAAAGGUGUUUUGGUUUUGAUUUAGGUUUGGAGAAGAGGGGGGUUGAAUGAUUUUUUUUCUGAAUUUUUGGGGGCUAGAAAGCAUGAAAAAUGAGGGGGAAUAGUGCAUCUAUUUAUAGGGAAAUUUUUGAUUUAGGUUUGGAGAAGAGGGGGGUUGAAUGAUUUUUUUUCUGAAUUUUUGGGGGCUAGAAAGCAUGAAAAAUGAGGGGGAAUAGUGCAUCUAUUUAUAGGGAAAGCAAGUGGGUAAGUGGGGGGAACCAAAUGCCCUUUGUGCAAAAAAAAUGCUUAUUUUUGGUGUCUGUGCAGUGGAAAUCGAUCUACCUAAUUGGGUAAAUCGAUUUCCCUGUUUUUUUUUUAAAUUCAUGCCUUGAGCCCAUGCAAUAUGCCUUUGGUUAUGAAUGCUAAUGCAAUUAUGGUGAUGAAGCAAUGAAUAAAUGUAUGUGUAAUAGGAUCAUAGAUCUGAUGAAAGUUGUUUGGGGUAGGGUGAAUUUUGGGGUAUGACAGUUGCCCCUAUUUAAUUUUCU